RNAcentral lists this unclassified non-coding RNA (173 nucleotides) under fungal sp. RNAcentral's name for it is "partial internal transcribed spacer region". The stretch from base 1 to 46 matches the Rfam family "Eukaryotic small subunit ribosomal RNA", at positions 1786 to 1831 of the family's 1831-position model. Lineage: Eukaryota; Fungi. The record is from RNAcentral.
AAGUCGUAACAAGGUUUCCGUAGGUGAACCUGCGGAAGGAUCAUUAACAAGUCUGGCGGGCGUUUGCUCUCUGCCACAUUAGUGCUGCGCGCCUGGCGCGUAGAAUACACAUUCCUUUUGACUGAUGCUUGCAAGAACAGAAACAACUUUUAACAAUGGAUCUCUAGGCUCUU